Paramuricea clavata is the source of this 282-nucleotide non-coding RNA. NCBI's taxonomy places the organism in Eukaryota, Metazoa, Cnidaria, Anthozoa, Malacalcyonacea, Plexauridae. The record is from the annotation of a GenBank genome assembly.
UGAAUGUCAUGGGCAAAUACCAGGAAGCUACAAGUCCUGUUUGGAAUUCUGUGCAUCACAAUUUGUGGUGUGCACAGAAUCCCUCGUUGAAUGUUUAAAAGAGUAUAGGGAAUGUCAAGCUAGAUGUGUACCUGAUCCAACCCCAAAACCUGAUGACGAUGAAAAAUACUUCUUGUGGAAAUAAACAGAUAGAAGGUUGAUGAACCAAAAAGGACUUGGGAAUAAUAUUAAUAAUUGGUAGAUAUCUUCAAACAUGUAGAAACAGUAAUAACAUCAUGCAUG